UACGGAGGGUGCAAGCGUUAAUCGGAAUUACUGGGCGUAAAGCGUGCGCAGGCGGUUUGUUAAGUCCGCUGUGAAAUCCCCGAGCUCAACUUGGGAAUUGCAGUGGAUACUGGCAAGCUGGAGUAUGGUAGAGGAAGGUGGAAUUCCCGGUGUAGCAGUGAAAUGCGUAGAGAUCGGGAGGAACACCAGUGGCGAAGGCGGACCUCUGGACCAAUACUGGACGCUCAUGCACGAAAGCGUGGGGAGCAAACAGG
Molecule: ribosomal RNA, 254 nt
Filed under: uncultured bacterium
Lineage: Bacteria
Description: partial 16S ribosomal RNA
Rfam family: Bacterial small subunit ribosomal RNA
Source: RNAcentral